Molecule: long non-coding RNA, 1155 nt
Organism: Xiphophorus couchianus (Monterrey platyfish)
Lineage: Eukaryota; Metazoa; Chordata; Actinopteri; Cyprinodontiformes; Poeciliidae
Exons: 2
Source: RefSeq, a predicted model, not a curated record
GCGGAAGCUGAGGUGCAAAGAGCCCAUGAGCUACCAGUGACUUCUGUCAUUCCAGAGUGACACCUGUAGACAGGGGUGUACCGGUACCGCACGGCUCCUUUAAGUUUUGCUCAGAACUCCAGGAUGAUCAUUCUAGGCAAUCUAAACGCUAAUAAACCAUCAUCAACAUUUCCCAGCAGAUCAAUAUGAUCUAUGAACACAUACUCCAUCUGAAUCCUUCCAUUGAUGAUGUUCUCCAUCAGAGCCUAUACAAGUAGCUGCACACCUUUGCGCAGCUACUUAUAUACAGUAGGUGUGAUUGUCUGCACACCUUGAUCACUUUAAAAAUAAUCAAACUUGUUUGGGGUUAAUCUGCUGAUCCAAUCCUGUUUUCUUUUUUUAGUGAGAAUGAAAUUACCCCAUAGAUGCAUUCCAUGCGCUUCGGCGCACAGACCGAUGCGUUACAUCUUUAUGAGACAAAAACAGAGGAAAAGUACUAUUUACAUUCGAGUGAGGUUUUCACAUCCUUUUACUUUUAUUUUCUUUAUGUUGUGUGCGCGCUAGGCUAUUGUAUGAAGAAAAAUGGUAAAGUUUCAUGUUUACUUUUAAACAAUAUGUCAUGUUCCGGGGUCUUUUAGCUCCUUUGUGGAGUUUUUGUGCAUGCACUCGUUUUUCUCCACCACUAGAUGGCGCCUUGUCGGAGGGCGUGGAUGACGUCAUCCCACACCUGAUGCGAGUUUGGCUAUCAGCGAGAUGUUCAAGAGGAGCUGACUGCCAGUCCUUCGGCGCCUGAGUGUUAGCCAGUCACGGUACCUCUGAGCCCCUAGAAGCUUGCUUCUGGUUUGCCUUGUUGAUCUGCUCCUAGUGAACGUUUUCUUUGUUGCUUCUCCUGCCUCCAGGUGUUUCCUCCUGGCUCCUCUACAUCCGCUGAUCCUGAGCCUACCUGUCCGCCCUCCGACGUACUCCCUUUGCCUCCUGGAUCCCCGCUGUCAGACAAGACGACCACCUGGAACCUCUGAGAACUAAAACCCCGGACGCUGCAGUUACCCUCCCACUUCUCUAACCUGCCGAUCACAAUGAACUGUUUGAUUCCCUGAACCAGCCUCUCUCCCUGGACCCGACCCGAGCCAACUAUUCCUGCCAGCAGUGUUUUCAAUAAAUUUAUCUUUUAUUUCA